RNAcentral lists this ribosomal RNA (432 nucleotides) under uncultured bacterium. Its description in RNAcentral is "partial 16S ribosomal RNA". It matches the Rfam family "Bacterial small subunit ribosomal RNA", at positions 29 to 506 of the family's 1533-position model. The record is from RNAcentral.
AACGAACGCUGGCGGCAGGCCUAACACAUGCAAGUCGAGCGAGGACUUCGGUUCUAGCGGCGGACGGGUGAGUAACGCGUGGGAAUGUGCCCUUCUCUACGGAAUAGCCCUGGGAAACUGGGAGUAAUACCGUAUACGCCCUAUUGGGGAAAGAUUUAUCGGAGAAGGAUCAGCCCGCGUUGGAUUAGGUAGUUGGUGGGGUAAUGGCCUACCAAGCCGACGAUCCAUAGCUGGUUUGAGAGGAUGAUCAGCCACACUGGGACUGAGACACGGCCCAGACUCCUACGGGAGGCAGCAGUGGGGAAUCUUAGACAAUGGGGGCAACCCUGAUCUAGCCAUGCCGCGUGAGUGAUGAAGGCCUUAGGGUGGUAAAGCUCUUUCAGCUGGGAAGAUAAGGACGGUACCAGCAGAAGAAACCCCGGCUAACUCCGU